Molecule: ribosomal RNA, 432 nt
Filed under: uncultured bacterium
Lineage: Bacteria
Description: bacterial SSU rRNA
Rfam family: Bacterial small subunit ribosomal RNA
Source: RNAcentral
AACGAACGCUGGCGGCAGGCUUAACACAUGCAAGUCGAGCGCCCCGCAAGGGGAGCGGCAGACGGGUGAGUAACGCGUGGGAAUCUACCCAUCUCUACGGAAUAACUCAGGGAAACUUGUGCUAAUACCGUAUACGCCCUUCGGGGGAAAGAUUUAUCGGAGAUGGAUGAGCCCGCGUUGGAUUAGCUAGUUGGUGGGGCAAUGGCCUACCAAGGCGACGAUCCAUAGCUGGUCUGAGAGGAUGAUCAGCCACACUGGGACUGAGACACGGCCCAGACUCCUACGGGAGGCAGCAGUGGGGAAUAUUGGACAAUGGGCGCAAGCCUGAUCCAGCCAUGCCGCGUGAGUGAUGAAGGCCCUAGGGUUGUAAAGCUCUUUCACCGGUGAAGAUAAUGACGGUAACCGGAGAAGAAGCCCCGGCUAACUUCGUGC